This 512-nucleotide ribosomal RNA is filed under the name uncultured bacterium. RNAcentral describes it as "partial 16S ribosomal RNA". It matches the Rfam family "Bacterial small subunit ribosomal RNA", at positions 28 to 507 of the family's 1533-position model. The record is from RNAcentral.
GAUGAACGCUGGCGGCGUGCCUAAUACAUGCAAGUCGAACGAAACUUCUUUAUCACCGAGUGCUUGCACUCACCGAUAAAGAGUUGAGUGGCGAACGGGUGAGUAACACGUGGGCAACCUACCCAAAAGAGGGGGAGAACACUUGGAAACAGGUGCUAAUACCGCAUAACCAUAGUUACCGCAUGGUAACUAUGUAAAAGGUGGCUAUACUACCGCAUUUGGAUGGGCGCGCGGCGCAUUAGCUAGUUGGUAGGGUAAAGGCUUACCAAGGCAAUGAUGCGUAGCCGAAUUGAGAGGUUGAUCGGCCACAUUGGGACUGAGACACGGCCCAAACUCCUACGGGAGGCAGCAGUAGGGAAUCUUCCACAAUGGGCGAAAGCAUGAUGGAGCAACGCCGCGUGGGUGAAGAAGGUCUUCGGAUCGUAAAACCCUGUUGUUAGAGAAGAAAGUGCGUGAGAGUAACUGUUCACGUUUCGACGGUAUCUAACCAGAAAGCCACGGCUAACUACGUG